UACAGAGGUCUCAAGCGUUGUUCGGAUUCAUUGGGCGUAAAGGGUGUGUAGGUGGCGCGCUAAGUCGGGUGUGAAAUCCCUCGGCUUAACCAAGGAAGUGCAUUCGAAACUGCAGAACUUGAGUACUGGAGAGGGUCGCGGAAUUCUCGGUGUAGAGGUGAAAUUCGUAGAUAUCGGGAGGAACACCAGUGGCGAAGGCGUCCACCUGGACAGAUACUGACACUGAGUCACGAAAGCGUGGGUAGCGAACAGG
Molecule: ribosomal RNA, 253 nt
Filed under: uncultured bacterium
Lineage: Bacteria
Description: partial 16S ribosomal RNA
Rfam family: Bacterial small subunit ribosomal RNA
Source: RNAcentral